Calliphora vicina (urban bluebottle blowfly) is the source of this 418-nucleotide long non-coding RNA. RefSeq lists it as uncharacterized. NCBI's taxonomy places the organism in Eukaryota, Metazoa, Arthropoda, Insecta, Diptera, Calliphoridae. The transcript has 2 exons. The record is from RefSeq and is a predicted model, not a curated record.
CGAAUGUUGUGUGGUUUUUAUUUCACUUGAUAUUUGUCUUUGGAAUUUCGUCUCUUUGUGCAUCGAUUCUGCAGUGAAAAAUAUUUUACAUAGAGGACUUCAAGACAUCUAUCUAGAAAUAAAGAAAAAAAAUAAGGGAUUUUUAUUCCGCUUUAAAUUUUUAGAUCAAAUUAAAAUCUUUAUUUUAAAGACCAAAUAAUUUAAAUUUAAAUCAUAGAAAUCUUUUAAAUAAUUUUAUUUGUUGAAAUUUUCAAAUUUUAACUUAAAAAAUAAAUAAAAGAAAAUCAAAUCAAACGGUUUCGCGUCGUGUAACUUGUGUAAUAAUAAAUCAAUAGUAUUUUGAUAAAUAAGUGUAACUUUGUGUUUGUUGUAAACGAGUAAGAACAAGAAGUAAAAGAAAAAUUGCUUCCAAACAAUU